Molecule: ribosomal RNA, 253 nt
Filed under: uncultured bacterium
Lineage: Bacteria
Description: partial 16S ribosomal RNA
Rfam family: Bacterial small subunit ribosomal RNA
Source: RNAcentral
UACGGAGGGUGCAAGCGUUAAUCGGAAUUACUGGGCGUAAAGCGUGCGCAGGCGGUUUGUUAAGUCUGUUGUGAAAUCCCCGAGCUCAACUUGGGAAUUGCAAUGGAUACUGGCAGGCUGGAGUAUGGUAGAGGAAGGUGGAAUUCCCGGUGUAGCAGUGAAAUGCGUAGAGAUCGGGAGGAACACCAGUGGCGAAGGCGGCCUUCUGGACCAAUACUGACGCUCAUGCACGAAAGCGUGGGGAGCAAACAGG